AACGCACAUUGCGCUCUCUGGUAUUCCGGAGAGCAUGCCUGUUUGAGCGUCAUUAAAACACCUCAACCUUUACUUUAUUGUAGAGAUUGGUCAUGGGCACUGGUUGGACUUUGUCUGACCUUGUCUGAAAUGGAUUGCAAGAUUAUUUGACGUAAUAAAAACAUUUUUGUUCGUUGGUAGUCAGCAUACCACGCUACUUGUAGCAAUUUUCUAAUUUUGACCUCAAAUCAGGUAGGACUACGCGCUGAACUUAA
RNAcentral lists this unclassified non-coding RNA (254 nucleotides) under uncultured fungus. RNAcentral describes it as "partial contains 5.8S ribosomal RNA, internal transcribed spacer 2, and large subunit ribosomal RNA". The stretch from base 1 to 52 matches the Rfam family "5.8S ribosomal RNA", at positions 103 to 154 of the family's 154-position model. Lineage: Eukaryota; Fungi. The record is from RNAcentral.